RNAcentral lists this ribosomal RNA (433 nucleotides) under uncultured bacterium. RNAcentral's name for it is "partial 16S ribosomal RNA". It matches the Rfam family "Bacterial small subunit ribosomal RNA", at positions 29 to 507 of the family's 1533-position model. The record is from RNAcentral.
AACGAACGCUGGCGGCAUGCCUAACACAUGCAAGUCGAACGAGACCUUCGGGUCUAGUGGCGCACGGGUGCGUAACGCGUGGGAAACUGCCCUUAGGUUCGGAAUAACUCCCCGAAAGGGGUGCGAAUACAGGAUAAUGUCUUCGGACCAAAGAUUUAUAGCCUUUGGAUGGGCCCGCGUUGGAUUAGCUAGUUGGUAGGGUAAAAGCCUACCAAGGCGACGAUCCAUAGCUGGUCUGAGAGGAUGAUCAGCCACACUGGGACUGAGACACGGCCCAGACUCCUACGGGAGGCAGCAGUGGGGAAUAUUGGACAAUGGGCGAAAGCCUGAUCCAGCAAUGCCGCGUGAGUGAUGAAGGCCUUAGGGUUGUAAAGCUCUUUUACCCGGGAUGAUAAUGACAGUACCGGGAGAAUAAGCUCCGGCUAACUCCGUG